UGGGAACCCUUAGGGGGUAGGGAUGGACCCAGCGAUGCGAGGAACUGAGCGGUGGUGCUGCAGAGUCUUUGCAAAUACUCUGGUGACCAGGUGGUGAUCGACGGAAAUUUUGGUUUUGUACGCCCGGGGUCAUCACCAUCACCACUGUCAGUGGCGGAGCUUUACAAACAAAUAUUGGAAGCUCGUCAGAAUCAUCAUCUUCCUACAGACCGAGGGUUUGAUCGGUCGCUGGUUCCAGAUCCCACCUCCACGGGGGCCGCCUCCUCCGACCAGUUGGUCAGUUGGGUGCUGGGAACCCUUAGGGGUUAGGGACGGACCCAGCGAUGCGAGGAAUGGAGCAGUGGCAUUGUCAGAAUCUUUGCAAAUACCCUGGAGUCUGGAUAUUGGUAUAUCCAAAACAUCGUAUACUCCCUCCGUUCCUAAAUAUAAGUCUUUUUAGAGAUUACAAUACAGACUACAUAUGGAGCAAAAUGGGUGAAUCUACAUUCUAAAAUGCAGAUCAUCAUCAUCCUGUAUGUAGUCCUUGUUGAAAUCUCUAAAAUCUCCUCACAAUCAUCAUCAUCAUCUCCCUUGCUGUCACAAUCAGCUUGGUCCUCUUUGGUUCACAGGAUUCUAGAAAAGAAUGGCAGGAAUAUGUGAUUGUCCUAAAGAAUUCCUUUGAAUCAAAGAGGCCCCCAACUUGUUGCUGCUGCUGUUGUUGGUGGUGCAAGCUAUUGCAAAGUUCAUAUGAACUUCCUUUGGAUCAAAGAGGCCCUAAGGCUGUCGCACCUUUUGUUUGUGAAUGAUGCAUGGCUUUAUGAUUAACCAGUUUGUGGUUGCUGAACUGUGCCAUGCUGAAUGGAAUUUCCAUUUUGGCGAGUCCGCUCGAGUUGCUCUUAGCUGGUGCGGGGCUAUGAUGAUUGAUUAUGGCUGAUAUAAGCACACUCUCGAGCAAUUGAGGCACUUGCGGGUAUUAAGUUGGAUCCCCCCUUGUUUCUUUGAGCCGUUUUGAUCAUGUGCUUAUUUUAGUGGCUCUGUCCUUGGAUGGUCAUUUCUGAUGAGUGAUAACCAGGGCAGUUUCACCAUUGUAAGAACAAAUUGAUCCGGUGAUGGAGACACUAGGGAAAGGGUCAUAUGAUCGAGCAAAGGCGAAUCUGAGCCGGUGAGCCCAUUCAAAUGCAGUUCUGGUCUCAAGCACAAUGUGCUAUGUUGCCAUUCUGUAUUUGUAUUUAGCACCUCCUUGGUUUGCAGGAUUUUAAGAACACACUGAAGAAAAAAAAAUGCAGGAUUGCAUUGUUAGGGCAUCUCCACCGCAGACCCCCAAGGUUCCGUCCGCAAAUGUCUGCGGACAGCCGGCCGGGCCUAGGCCAUUCUUGCUAGGGCGAUGAUGAUUGACCAUGGCUGAAAUAGUGUGCCUUUGAGCAAUCGAGGCACCUGUGGGUAUCAAGUUGGAUCCUCCCUCUUGUCUCUAGAAUCCUUUGAUCCUGUGAUACUGAUUGCUCUGUCCUUGGACGGUCAUUCUUCUUGAGUGAUAACCAGGGCAGCUCCACAGUAUAAACUGGUUGAUCUGGUGAUAGCAGAUGAUGUGGGUAGGUUAUAUGAUCGAGCAAAGGCGAAUCUGAGCCCACUAUGCAAUAUAAGCUCCAAUGUUUAUAUUUGUCUUGUGUAAAGAUUUCUUCUCUUAUACCUUCAUUGCAUAAGUUAUGCUUGAUCUUUUAUCGUUCGCUGUUGCUCCUUAAUUUAAUCUGGUUAAGAGUAAGUUUCACUUUGUUAUAUUAGGGAGACUUCUAUUUUUCCGCAAGUUACCAGUUGCAGCUAUUUGUUCUUACAAUGCUUCAAAUAAUAAUGCAACUGGAUUUUUUUGGAGAGAAUGCUGGACUGUUCAUGUAAAGAGUGACCGAGGCGGCACGUCACAUGUUACUGUCUGUAUCCAUAAGCAAUUUUUCAACUGCUGUGAUUUAGUUGCUGGGCUAAUCUGGGCCAUUGAGCGGACAUUCCCUUUUGUUUUCUUUACUUUGUUCAGAAGCUUUCCCCAAUUCUGUCUAUCACCACUGCAUUUUUUGGAUCAUGCACCAGACUAAAUGUCGGUGAACUUCGAAGGAUGUGUGUUUUGUUAGCUUCUUAACUUGUUUCCUUGCUAAGUAAACCUUCGGGGUUAUUCAGUUUUGUUGCCCUCUUUGUAGAUAUAGUUUUGGUCUUUUACAUUGCUUUGUCAUGCACUCUUCCUGGCAAGCUUAUAACAGUGAUGACUUUGUCCAUUUAGUCAUAGCAACUAUUUGAAUUAUCAAAAUUCGCUACCAUUUGGUUACCACCAGAUGUUUGUCUUGACAAAACAUGGUCCAGGAAGGCAUUUUGUCUGCUAUGUUUUUUGAAAUAGAAUUCUGAUUCGGGGCAGUGAUGAUUGACCAUUGCUGAUAUAAGCAUGCUCGAGCAAUCGAGUAAGCUGUGGUAUAAGUUGAAUCCUCCCUUGUCUCUUGGAGCCGUUUCAACCACGACAAGAAUUAUGGGACGGAGGGAGUAUAUAUUUUUUUGUGGCUGUCCUUGGAAGGUCAUUUUGAUGAGUGAUAACCAGGGCAGCUCCACAGUAUAAACGGGCUGAUCUGGUUAUAAGAGAUGNNNNNNNNNNNNNNNNNNNNNNNNNNNNNNNNNNNNNNNNNNNNNNNNNNNNNNNNNNNNNNNNNNNNNNNNNNNNNNNNNNNNNNNNNNNNNNNNNNNNNNNNNNNNNNNNNNNNNNNNNNNNNNNNNNNNNNNNNNNNNNNNNNNNNNNNNNNNNNNNNNNNNNNNNNNNNNNNNNNNNNNNNNNNNNNNNNNNNNNNNNNNNNNNNNNNNNNNNNNNNNNNNNNNNNNNNNNNNNNNNNNNNNNNNNNNNNNNNNNNNNNNNNNNNNNNNNNNNNNNNNNNNNNNNNNNNNNNNNNNNNNNNNNNNNNNNNNNNNNNNNNNNNNNNNNAGCCCCCUCAAAUGCAAUUCUAGUGCUCCUUCAGCAUAAUAUGCUACGUUCUUUCUCUUUUUUUAUCUGUAUUUGAAGGUGUCGCUUAUUUUUAUAGCUGUCCUGUGUAUAUAUUUCUUCCCUCGUACCUUUAUUGUGAAGAUGUUCUUGCUCUUUUUUGUUUCGUUCUUACAUCUAUUCUGCACUAUACGUCAAGUAUCAGCCAAAAUAAAAUUUGGUCUUUGAUGCUACAUAUUCAGUUAAUUUUGUUCCCACUGUACAGCUUAAAUGGAUUGUCAUGGCCCCCCAGCACACUAUACUUUGUGGUUGCACACAUGCAUGGCAAAAUACUCCAAAUCUGAUGUGGUCUAAUGAUGCUCUAUCAUGUAUUUUAAAAGCAUGCCUUGGGGCAAGCUUCUAUAUCACCACCCUUCUCCACAGAAGCAUGUUCAAGUCAUAAGCUUGGUGAUGCUGUAAUUCAUAUGGUCAAUCAGAUAAUCAGUGCAACAUGCUCAUCAUAUGUUUGGAUGCAACUGAGAGUGCAGAUGCACAUUAGAUGCUGUGAAUAAAAGGUUGUGUGCUUGGCCAGUAAUUUUAAUAUGUGAGGCCUCCAUUGGCUAUGUAUAAUAUAAUGUUCUUUUGCCAUGUAUGUGUUCAGUGUUGGUUAACAAAAUGCUAAUGUUAAGUGAAAUUCUUUAAUAUCAAACGAAUUCUUUGUACAGAUUUUUUUUAGUUCUAUUGGAUUUCCCAUAAUAGUUUGUAUACCGGUCUACCAUUGUGUCUCUUCAUGAAUGUGGUACUGCUGAGCAAGCCUGAGAAGCCUUUGUAAUAGUUUGUGUAUUUCCUUUCAACUGCGAUAAUGUGUGCAUUUUCAUCUUGAUUCUAAAGUACAUCUUUCCUUUCUACUUGAAGUUAGAUGGAGGUCACUAGGCAUCAGGAGGAUUGCAUAGCCCAAUAUCCUCCCUUGUUACAUAAUUUUGCAAGCUAUUGGUGACCACGAAUAAUUAUGGGUGCUGUAUGCUAAACAAUGCUCUCUGUUUAAUGCAAAGUAUAUUGUUUGUAGGCACUAUUUGGUUUUGCUUGACAUUCGUUUUGGUGGUUUGCAUUUAAGUUAAAAUGCAGGCAGUGGUUGUUCUUUAUUGUUUGGUCAUUUGAUUUUGCUCUUCUUUUAGUUGUACUUGUUCUUUAUUGUUUUGGAUUUUGUUGCUUUCAGGAGAUAGCUUCUUCUCGGUUGCUUCUUCAGUCUUGUAAUCCAUGAUCAUUUUGCUGCUCUCAGUAGAUAGCAUAUUCUUUAUUCUUUGGUCAUUCGAAGGAUGUUUGUUUUGUUAGCUUCUUAACUUCCUUUUCCUUGCUAAGCAAGCCUUUCGGGUAAUUCUGUGUUGUUGCUGCCUUCUUUUUACAUAUAGUUUUGCAUCGCUUUGCUUUGCACUCUUCCUGGCAUGCUUAUAACAGAGACCUUUGUCCAUUAGACAUAGUAACUAUUUGAAUAAUCAAAAUUUGCUACCAUUUGGUCACCACCAGAAGUUUUUUAGUUGACAAAACAUGGUCCAGGAAGGUAUUUUGUCUGCUAUGUUUUUUGAAAUAGGAUUCUGAUUUGGGGCAAUGAUGAUUGACCAAUGCUGAUAUAAGCAUGCUCUCGAGCAAUCGAGUAAGCUGUGCAUAUUCAGCUGGAUCCUCCUUCGUCUCUUGGAGCCGUUUCAACCAUGACAAGAAUUAUGGAACGGAGGGAGUACUAAGAGCAACUCUAGCAGAUUUGCUAUAUUUUUGGUGGCUCUGUCCUUGGAAGGUCAUCUUGACGAGUGAUAACCAGGGCAGCUCCACACUAUAAACGGGUUGAUCUGGUGAUAAGAGAUGAUGGGGGUAGGUUACAUGAUCGAGCAAAGGCGAAUCUGAGCCCCCCUCAAAUGCAAUUCUAGUGCUCUUUCGGCAUAAUGUGCUACACUGUUUCUCUUUUUUUAUCUGUGUUUGGAAGGUGUCGCUUAUUUAUGCAACUGUGUUUAUAGCUGUCCUGUGUACAUAUUUCUUCCCUCUCAUACCUUUAUUGCGUAAGUUGUUCUUGCCCUUUUUUUUUCCGUUCUUGCAUCUGUCUGCACUAUAGUACAUCAAGUAUCAGCCAAGAAAAAUUUGUACUUUGAUGCUACACAUUCAGUUUUCAACUUAAAUGGAUUCCUGUGGCCCCCAGCACACUAUAUUUUGUGGUUGCACACACGCACAGCAAAAUACUCCAAAACUGCUGUGGUCUUAUAAUGCUCUAUCAUGUACUAUUUUAAUAAGCAUGCCUGAGCGCCAGCCCUUCUCCACAGAAGCAAGUUCAAGUCAUAAGCCAGUGUUGGUGGUGCUGUAAUUCGUAUGGUCAAUCAGAUAAUCAGGGCAACAUGCUUGUCGCAUACCUUUUGGAUACAAUUGAGAGUGCAUAUGCACAUUAAAUGCUGUGAAUCAAAGCUUGUGUGCCUGGUCAGUAAUUUUGAUAUGUGAGCCCUUGAUUGGCUUAUGUAUAAUAUGUUGUUCUCUCGCCAUGUAUGUGUUGGGUGUUGGUUAACAAGAUGAUGAUGUUCAGUAAAAAAUUUCUAUAUCAAACAAAUUUGUUUUACAGAGUUUUUUAGUUCUAUUGAAUUUCCCAUGAGAGUUUGUAUACCGGUCUACCAUUUUGACUCUUCAUGAAUGUGGUCUUGCUGAGCAAGCCUGAGAAGCCCUUGUACUAAUAGUUUGUAUUUGAGCAGUUUCUUCCUUUCAACUGCGAUGAUGUGUGCAAUUUCAUCUUGAUUCUAAAGUAGAGUUUCCUUUCUACUAGUAGGCAUCAGGAGGAUUACAUAGCCCAAUAUCCUCGCUUGCCACAUAAUUUUGCAAGCUAUUGGUGACCACAAAUUAUUACGGGUUCUGUAUGCCAAACAAUGUGCUCUGUUUAAUGCAAUUUUUUUUAUUAUAUUGCUAUUGCACAAGAUUUCUGGUUCCUCCUAAUUUUGAGGCACUAUUUGGUUAUGCUUGACAGUAAUUUUGGCGCUUUAGAUUUCAGCUAGAAUGCACGCAGGAUAUGUUGUUUGCUCAUUUGAUCUUUUUCUUCUCUCCUACGUCUACUUGUUCUUUAUUUGUUUCUGAUCAUUUUGCUGCUCUCAAGAGAUGCCUACCAUAUUCUCGCCUGGUUCAUCAGUGACCUCAUCCAUUUGGUUUGGUGCCAAAAGAGGAAGGGUCUCCCAACCAAGUUUCAUGUUGAUCUUAUUGGCUCUAGCUGUGAUCUUGUAGAUAUAGCUGCCUGUGGAACAUAUUUUUGCGUCUCCUAAGUUGGGUUCUAGAGUGGUUGCACUCUGUUAUACCAAGGUAGACUUGCUGGCUUGUUUUUAAAUGGUUGUCAUACCAGCAUUGUUUUCUCCCAGCAAAUUGCCAGCUGCAGCAGUUUGUUCUUACAUGCGACAGAGAACGAGUACGGUGCAUGUUUGCUGUCUGUAGCCAUAAGCAAUUUUUUGACUGCUGUGAAUGAUUGAGUUGCUGGGUUUAGCUGAGCCAGUGUGGUGAUAUUUUGACUGCCGUUACUGUUGCCUCGAGUGCCCGUUUGGGUGUUCGACGCCUACGGUCUGUUCCAAGUGCUGCGGUUUUGUCGUGUUACCCCGUGACAGGUUUCUUCAAUGUUAAUAGGCAUCAUUCAGCAUGUUCUUGUUUUCUCAAACCGUUUUGUCUCAAUCUCUUGGACCUGGUUUGAAAAUUAUACACUUUUGGUUGUACGUGUGCAGGGCUGCAUGUAGGCUGGCUGCGGUGGCUGGGAGUGUGUACGUUCUCGCACACCCGCGCCUUCUUAAAUCCCACACCACAUGGGCAGUGACUCCGGCGAGCUGCAGGGAGUGACGGGCAGAAAUGGCGGCCUCCUCCCUCCUCGCCGCCAUCCUGGCGCUGCAGCUGCUUCUCCUCCUCGUGGCAUUCACGCCCGCACCAGCAGCAGCAGCGAGCCCCUCCAAGCGCCCCAUCCAUCAGCCUCCCUCUUUCCCCGCAGGAAUCUCUACCCUGCGGCGGCGGGCUGCAAGCUCGAGCGGCAGGCUCGCCACGGAGGCGGUGAAGCCGUUCACGGCGCACUACUUCCCCCAGGAGCUGGACCACUUCACCUUCACGCCCAACUCCUCUCGCGUCUUCUCCCAGAAGUACCUCCUCAACGACACCUUCUGGCGGAAACCCACCGGGCCGCUGUUCGUGUACAUGGGCGGCGAGGCUGACAUCGAGUGGUUGGCCACCACCACCGGCUUCAUGUUCGACAUCGCGCCAGAGUUCGGGGCUCUCAUCGUCUUCAUCGAGGUACUCUUCUUUGCCACAUCCUCCGCCAUGGCUGAUACUUUCAGCUAAUCAUCAUAUCAUCGGUUGCCACGCCUUAGUCCAAAUUUUGGUUGUUGUGCUGCACACCAUUUUAUUUGUAAUUAAGCAUAUUAAUAAUAUAAUUAUUAAAAGGUGAAUGCCUAAACGGACUAACGAAUGCAUCUAUAUAGACUGAAUAAUCUGUUACCUUGAUUAUACAUUAGAAUCUAAUUUUAAUGAUCAAAAUAAAAAAUAAUAUAAUAAUAAUAAUAAUAUAUGUGCAUCACAGCCACUCGUGAUGGAGCGGCGCUCCGGGUCGGGUGCAGUUCGAUUGAAACAAAGAGAGCAAUCCUGAUGGCAUCACUGCCGAUGUCAGCACUCAGGCAAUUAACCAAGUUGCUUUAUUUCACGUGUGCUAGCUAGGUUGACUGGAAUUUCAUUGCCACAACACUUGAUGGAUUUCACCGUACAAGAAUAUGACUAGAUCGAUUGAGACACAUACAAUUAUUUUCUGUUAGUUGGAUCAAGAGCAAAAAUUCCUGCAAAAGAAAAAUCAAUAGCAAAUGUAUCAACUAAAUAUUUUCCAUCCGUACUCCACAUAGUUCAUAGAUGUAAAUAAUUCUAUAUAAAGAGUAAAUAUAUAUAAAAACACAUUUCAAAAUGUUAAUAUAUUCUGAACAAUAAUUUCGCGUGUACAUCCGGACAUUCUAUGUUCGCACACAAAAUUUCGCAAAUAUAUAUAAAUUUUUUGUGGCAUGUAUAAAAGGAUAAAAAAAUGUCUCAUGAAUAGUUGUAAUGAAGCACCGAAAAUUGUCUUUUUUACACAAGCCACAAAAAAUGUCCUUUUUCAUCGAAACUUUGUGCGUGAACAUGUAAUGUCCGGAUGUACAUGCGGGAUUUUUUCUCGAAUUUUUUGAACUUUUUUAAAAUGUGUAUUUAGACAAUGGGUGCAAUACACCUAUGAAUCAAAGUGAAUUUCCGCUACAUACGGAUGUAUAUAGACAUAUUUAGAGUGUAGAUUUGCUCAUUUUACUUCUUAUGUAGUUCAUAUUGAAAUCUCUGAAGGGACUUAUAUUUAGGAACGAAGGGAGUAGGACAUUAACUAGCCCAAUUCAGGCUUUGAUAACAUAUAAGAUAAUAACAUGCGGAUUAUGUUAUAGAAAUCAAACUAAUAUGAUUGGAUUUGUAAUAUAUAUCUCUUUUCUUCACUUAUCAUUUGAUUAUUUUUAUCUUAACUACAAAUGAAAUAUUGAUUAUAUAGUUUAAAAUUAAAAAAAAUGUGUGCCUUGCAUUUGUUACGGAGGGACUAUGCAAUAAGUUAUUUUGGUCAUCAUAGAAACAUGAGACAUACUUACACGACAUGGUCGAUGAGAGAGAGAGAGAGAAAGAGAGAGAGAGAGAGAGAGAGAGAGAGAGAGAGAUAGUCGUGUUAAAUAGUAGAAUUUGGUGCAACCAACGUUGGCACAAUCAGCAAAAGCUAAGUUAUGACUCAUAUACCAUGGAUACAAUUAGAUCAACUCUAGCAGAUUUGUGGAAAACGGCCUUUGCGGGCUGGCUUGGACGGCCGCAGAUGCAGACUCCCCAAACAGACCCGUAUAAAAGGAUAUUCGCGGAAUAUACUUUUUUACGGUCUGCUCGGGCACCGCCGCGUCGACCCGCAAACAGAAAACGCCUAAUUCUCAAAUUUGACAUAGAUGCCCACACAUAAGUUCAAAUUCAAACAUAGCACAGUUUACCCGCCCCGACCCGCACUUUAGCGGUUAUUUUGCGGAUCGGGGCGGGAUGCAGGGUCUGCUAGAGUUGCUCUUAGAAAGGCAAGGUAAUGUUCAUGUCUACAAGGUAUGCAAGAGUUGGUAGCUAGAAAGAUAAAUACAGAUAAUGUUUUCACGAUUAUAGUUAAAUAUGAACACAUUACAUUAGUAGGCAUGCAACAAAGGAAAUUAGAGUAAGGCACGCAUGUGUGGAAGCAUGUCGAUGCAUGUCAUAUCCCUAAUUGAACCUAACUGCAAUACCACUAACGAUGAGAAAGGGAAGAAAAAAGGCCCAACGAUAUUAUGUUUCGAUUAUUUCUUAUUUAAAGCUCCUCUUCAAGAUAAAGAAGCAUCAUAAUGUGGUGUUAAUUUUUGGUGUCUAAUUUCUCAAGGUCAAUGAACCAGAUUGAGAAGAAAUAAACAAACAUGCUAUUACCAAAAUUUAACAACGGGCGACAAAUCUACCCACGCAAAUGCAUGGGUCAUUCCGCUAGUUGGCACUUAAGCUUCGUUAACGGUACUAAAUACUAUCAAUAUUCACUUGUUCAAAUUGCAACUUGUUUGAAAUUUGUGUGUCGGAGUGCAGCAUCGGUUCUACGGGGAGUCAAAGCCGUUCGGCAAUGACUCGUACAAGUCAGUUGACAUGUUGGGCUACCUGACGUCCACACAGGCGCUCGCCGACUUUGCCAUCCUCAUCACGAGCCUUAAGCAGAACAUGUCCAUUGUUGAUGCCCCCGUCGUCGUCUUCGGCGGCUCUUAUGGCGGCAGUAAGUCUAUCACUAACGUGUUUCCUUAUAUUAUAUCCGUUCAUGCAUUAGUCUGAAUCUCCUUAAGUUUAUUAUUAUUUUUAGGAGGGCGCUUGCCGCCUCUCGGCUCGUUUUGUUUUUAGGAAUCACCGGGGUUGGGGUGGGGAGGGGGGAAGAUCCCACAUGUAUAUAUAUAUAUAUAUAUAUAUAUAUAUAUAUAUAUAUAUAUAUAUACAGGGCAAGAAUUACAGGGUCAGGAUGAUGCGUGAAGAGAGGUAGUCUCACCAAGACAAUGCGACAACAUUACCAACCGGCUCCUUAAACCGCUGAGAUCAAAUGUUUGAAGUCCAAAAGAUGUUUAUAAUGGUAACUACACACCAAGGAGAUCAUGUUUAUAAUGCGACAACAGGAUUUCUGCCCAGAUGUCAUUAUCUAGGUGAGCAUAAGGGAGCACCAAAGAUCCUACACCACAUGUUAGGGGUGAUGCCGAGGUGACUCCAAAUCCGCAUGGAGCUCAGAGAGUUGAUGAGGAUGUGGUGGGCGUCCUACAAAUGUGCAUUGAGGGUAGCAACCGCUGGAGAUGUUUGUGGAAUAGAUUUCCUCUGGUAUCCAGACAUCCACAACAAAGAGUAGCUAGCCGAAGACCUUGAUCUUGUUGGGGUCGCAGAAGAGCCAUAUGAGAUCAGUGUGAUCGUAUCCCUAUACUCAUGAUUGAGAAGGUUGUAGACAACACCGGUGGGAGAAGUCAUUGGAGUAACAAAGACAAAACGGGCAAUUCGAAGCAACAUUGGCAAGACCAUUUCGUAGAUUCGCAUGCAAUCCAUCUUGCAUGGUCUCAUGGAGUAGGAUGUUGGUUUUUUCCGGUCGACGGUGGCGGCGGCCGCGGGCGUUGUUUCCUUCAUGAAGGCUCUGUUGUGGUGUUCCCUUUCCUUCACGUUGCUCUGGGUGAAAACUCGAUCUUCGGGGUCGGGCGGUGGCGACAAUCCGAUGUCAUGCCCUUCUUGAAGGCACCGCCUUGGAGUCCAUCCUCCGUCAGUGUCCUGCUUCACUUCUUUUCGGUGGCUAGUUCUCGAGAGGUCCUCGUUGGCUACAAGUGGUUUUUUUGGCUCAUCUGUAGUGCUUGGUGGUUGAUUGGGUAGUGUGGCGGUGCGUCGGCACCCUUGUAUCUUGCCUUGGUUGAGUGUGGUGUGUGUGUUGGUGGCUUGUUGUAUCCGGAUGUGUAUCUCUGGUUGUUGCUUUAUAUAUAAAGUGGGUGUGGAGGCUGGGAAUGUGGUGUGGAGGCUGGGAAUGUGGUGGCUAGGGGUUGCUGUAAGCCAAACAGAAGUGGUGAAGUUGUUUCUCAAACAAAAGAGAGUUGUUGCAGUUGUGGUAGCUUUAUUUUUUUGUGAAGAAGGGUCCCUAUAUAUUAUAAACUUCACCAGUAGUACAAAGCACUCCCUACAUAGUAAAAAUGACAUUGAGGUCCUUGGACCACUACCGCCAGCAGAACAAGCCGUCCACGCGCUGCUGUCGCUCUUCCUCUACCGGUGUCGGCCUGACCUUGUCGAUGACAGUUGGGAAGUCUUCGUGCAUGUGUCCUAAGUACCAGCAUCCUGGACCUGCAGUCGUUGUCGUUGAACCCAUGAAUCGGUCCGAAGCGCUUGACACCAUAUGUCGUUGUAAAGAAUGUGAGGCGAGAAACCUAACCUCGCCACUCCAAGGAGAUGGCAUGACAGGAACAAUGUCGAAUCUGCCCUGAUGUCUAGGUUAGAUAGGAAGAAUGGUCGAGACGUGACCGAUGGAGCCAGGGUGCUGGGAUUGGUAGUUUUGUGGAGAUCAAGAUGAGCUAAUAUACACUAAUGUAUUACAAAAUAAACUAAUGAUGUCUUAUGGCCUGUGGCUUUGGCUGUUGGUUCUAGUGUUGGCUUCAUGGUUCAGGUUAAAGUAUCCCCAUGUCGCCAUCGGAGCCCUGGCGUCCUCUGCACCCAUCCUGCACUUCGACGACAUCACCCCGUGGUCAAGCUUCCAUGAUACCGUCUCACAGGACUUCAAGGUAAUUUUCUAUAUCUAAAUAACUAGCUGUCACUAACUAUUUUAAAAAACAUGCAGCUAUGCUAUUGCUACCUCAUUAUCCUAAUAAGUUCUAGAAAUUAAUUGCAUGCAUGUGUCCUUCGCACCAAGUUUUCUUCCCCACAUUUAUGCGGGGUUUUUCUUCUUCUGAAUUCCCUACUCGUAAGUGAGUGCACAUAUGAUGCGAUCAAGAUAUACAAUAUUAUAAUUAAAAUACUCAUAUUGAUACAAUAAAAUCACAUGGAAAUAUAUUGCAACCAAUUCCUGCGGCAACGCGCGGGGUGUCAUCUAGUAUAAUUAAUUACCACUCCAUAGUAACAAGAAAAAGAAAUAAGUUGGCCUAAUUAUUAGUCUUGAGAACGCACGGCAGGUCGACAUGAACAUCUUCUGCAAACUGAUCGAUGGUGUCAGCUCUGGAAAUUAUUAGUACUGCUACUGAUUGCACUUGUUGUCACUUGUCGUCCGGUAGCAUGUCUCUCUUCCUCUCAUCCUCUGGUGUUAUCAAUACUAUCAUAAUGGUUUUCAGUUUUGGAUUAUGAAUUGGUAAAUGGUGAUGGCGGCUAGCCCUUGCACUUUCCAUGGGCAUUCAGCUUAAAUUUAUUUGAUCGAAUGUUACCUUCCAGCCAAUGAUGUAGAUGUCUAGUUCUAGGUGAGGUCUUGCUUAUGAGUUCAUCAUGGCUAUUCAGUUGUUGACUAGCUUGAUUGCGAUGCUCAACCGCAUCAAGGGGCUAUUUUUUCGAACCAUGACUGCACGUGAACUAAAUAAAUAGCACCGAAGGACUAUCAAUAGGCGGUUGGGAGUAAGGUCCUCAUUUGGCCAAAGAUACGCAAAUUGAUGCAUUUUGUUCAAUGUUCAUUACUGAUGAUGAUGACGCAUCUGUUGCUAAUAACGUAGAGACAGGAUAUAACAUGGAAAUGGAAUGAUGAGUAACUUGCUAGUGACAUCUUUGCCUGACUGGUGCUUGAUUAGUCCUUCUCCCAAGAUGAAGUUUCCAUGAAAACCUAGGUGUUUAAUCAGCUGAUCGUCACAUCCAACUAGUUUUGCAGUCCGAGAGCCUGAAUUGCUUCAGUGUCAUCAAGGCAGUCUGGGAUGUGCUAGAUAACAGGGGAUCCAAUGACACAGGGCUCUUGGAGCUCAGCAAAACCUUCAGGGCCUGCAAGUAAGCUUUGCCUAACACAAUUACUCAAUCUUUUCAUGAAGGGAGAAAAUGAUUUUUUUCUCUCCUUUACUCAUAACUGUAUAGGACACCGGCCGCAUGGUAUAAAACUUUGAUAUAUGGAGAAAAACAAGAGAUUAAGACUGCAAGUAUUCUUUUCUAUCCGUAAAGUGUAAGCAAAGUAAACAAAUAGUCAAACCUUGUAGCAGGAAAUACAUGAAAAAAAGAACUUGCAGCCCCAAAGAAGGUACAUUAAGUUCAAUGAUAAAUCGAUGGACAUGUAAAUCUAAUCUUGCCAAGCUAACUGGAGUGUGAACUAAUGAAGGAUUUCAUACUUUGAGCGAAUUGACAACAAUGACACGGUUCAUGGCGUUGCUUUAUCCUUGAAUCUUAGGACCGUGCAGUUCAUUUAUCCGCUGAGCAGCUGGCUACAGACAGCGUUCAUCCACACAGCCAUGAUGGACUAUCCAACCCCAGCAAAUUUCUUGAUGAAUCUGCCUGCUUACCCAGUCAAGGAGGUUAGCCACUUGUAACCUAAUUUACAACUAUUAUUCUCGCCUGCAUUACAUCAAAUGAAUGAGAGUAACAUGAGUUUCAGAGUUACCAAACUGAGUCAUGCAAAAAGAGGACCUGUUCUUUUUACUCCUCUGCGUUGCAUGUAAUUCUCCUGACAUUUCUGCAGAUGUGCAAGAUCAUUGAUUCUUUUCCUGCGGGAGCUGACGUCAUCGACAAGGCUUUCGCUGCGGCGAGCGUGUACUACAAUUACACAGGCGACCAGAAAUGCUUCCAGGUGGAGGGUGGCGAUGACCCUCAUGGCUUCAAAGGAUGGGGCUGGCAGGUACAAGCCUGACUCACAUACAUGUGUAUGUGGUGUACUGAACUACUGAUAACACAUGAAGACUGAGAAGUAUCAUAUAUGUGUCUUACGAAACAAACUCUUGUGCAGGCCUGCACAGAGAUGGUCAUGCCAAUGACGGUGUCGAACGAGAGCAUGUUCCGACCAUCCAGCUUCAGUUACGAGAAGAUGUCCGAGAACUGCCUCGCGGGCUACGGAGUUCGUCCGAGGAUGCACUGGAUCACUUCUGAAUAUGGUGGCCAUGUAAGUUUUUAUUCAGAUUUUCAUGUUUACAUACGACCGUCAGCAGCAGCAUUUCUUUGGGUGGCAUGUGCUCACCUAGUACUGCAUUGCACAACCCACUACAGAAAAUUGACAAGGUUCUCAAGAGGUUUGGGAGCAACAUCAUCUUCUCCAACGGGAUGCGAGACCCAUGGAGUGGAGGCGGGUAGGAGUAAAAGAUUUCUCACCAUCUGAUCUAUUCAUGUUGAUAGUUUCAACCAUUUAGGUAGCAAUUUUACCAUAGUAAACAAUAGUAAUAGUCUUCCUUCCGAACUGCUACCAGGGUACUCAAGAACAUAUCAUCCAGCAUCAUUGCUCUUGUCACGGAGAAAGGUAAACUUGAAGUUGUAGAAAAUAUGUAAGGUCAAAGUAUUCUGAACUUACGAGUGGCUACUUGUGGUGAUGUUCAGGGGCCCAUCAUUUGGACUUGAGAUCUGCAACCAAGGAUGAUCCAGACUGGGUUGUAGAACAAAGGAGACAGGAAGUUGAGAUCAUACAUGGAUGGAUAGAUCAGUAUAACAAGGACACUGCACAGGGGUAGCAGUAAGAAGGCGGCAUUGAUUUUCAGAGUCAAGGAAAAUAAAUAUGGCUUGGUGGCUUUAUUAAUCUAAAGUCGGGCAAUCGUUUUUUAUCUAAAUAAAUAAAUUAAUAUGGCUACAUACAAAAUGUAAGGAUUUUCCUUUCUUCUACAGGGCGAUAAGCACAAAAAAAGAGAUAAUGCAUUAGUGCAACUUCAAAUUCAAUUAUACACCAGAAAUUCUUGAACUUAAGCAGUCAUAUAUACGUGAAUCAUGAAUGCAGAGGUUCUCCUUUUCUUAACUGUUGCAGUGAACAUUGAAUUUAGGAACAGACUUGUAUUUGACCCUGCUGAAAAUUUAAGAAAAAGGGUUUCCCCCCCUUUAUAUUAGGGGAGCACUAGGCAUCAGACUACUGAUGCCUCGCUUUCUAUCAGACCAGUCCACAGCCAUCCGAUCAGAUGCAUCCUGGUAGUCAGAUCAGAUCAGCUAGUCUAUUCCCGCGCGUGAUUUCUGGAUUGAGGCCCGAUAGCAGUUCCUUGUUUUGCCGCGAUGGGCAUGGUCGUAGCUAGUUUCCACCAAUUACUGUUACUAACUCUUCCUACAAUUGUGCUUCCGGAAAUCAUUCGUUAACCAUAUAUAAAAGGAGAUAACGUGCAUCUUCAUGCCAUGAAACAAUGUAUAUAUUUUCCACGGCGAAUGUGAAGCACUAACCAUGUACUACGUCGAUACAAAAUACGCAAGCUGUUGGGACAUAUUCCCUUUGCGUCGGCACAGCAGGGACUAUUGUGUUGCUGCCAAGUUGCGCAUGAUGCCAAUGUCGUCGAAGCGGAUGAGCGGGGUAUGUCGACUAAGCAUAACGUCGUCUUACAAAUGUGGCAUAUUUUCCUCAAAUAAAUGAUGUAAAAAGGCUGCGAUGCUUCCGACAUUGUAAUGUGGCAUAUUCUCAUGUAGUAUGUCAUGCUAGCAAAUUACCUAUGUUUCUGACAUUAUUGCUACAUGCUUCUUAUUUGUAGAAUAUUAUAAUUUGUUUCAUGCCACUAUAUAUUGCCACUGCCACAGCUAUGCUUCGAACAAUACUAAUUGUUGCAUGCUCCCUGUAUUACACUGAUGUUUGUUUCCCAAACAACAUACACAUCAAUUAGUAAUUUUGUAUGCUUCCAUUUUUUCCGCUACUUCCUUUGUACAUAGCUGGUUAGAGUUUCAGAUUCGUAGUAUGUUGCAGCAUCAACCAAUCAUAUUUUCAACCGAUGCUACAGGAUUCAUGUCUCCACAAUAAUCACUUCUUUCCGCAAAAGAACCGACCGUCGAUGCGUCAAGCAUGCCCAGGGGCGUGUUGGAGGACAUUGUCGUGGACAGGGCGCGUUUGCUCGUCUGGUCAAGAAACAUAUCCAAGAAGCAAAGAAUCAUGGUUCACCAAUCUUUGAAGCAAAGUGUUAGUACAAUAAACACAUGCACGAGACACACCAUGGAGGCAUGUAUGAUCGUAUUGAGCAGAUGCUGAAAAUGACAAGAAAACUCGCAUCAUGCCAUACAAGACCUUGAUACAGAAUUAGCAACGUGGGGUGAAGGUGGCGCCUCGCUCAGGGCAUCACAUGUUGUCAUCUGGCCAAACUUACCUGGCCUGCCAUGCGAGCAACACACAAGCCAUAAGACGUUACCACACAAGGAUGGACCAGAUUGGUGGAGGAGGGAAGAGGGUGCUGGUUCUCCGUCGAGCAUGGAGUCGCCGCUUGGAAGCAGGCACCGCGCUCGGGUAAUGGCGGCAUGGCCACCUGAUGACGGGAGGGUGCACCACGGCACAUGUCGCACCGGCGCGGUGUGUCUCACGGGCAGAGGGGGAGGCUGGUUCAUGACGGAGAGGUGAGGGUGGUGAGCGGAUUGACGAGAUCGGCGGCACGGGCGCGUCGGAUGCGUUUAUAGCAGGUCAUAUUAAUGCGGGAUGGAUUAUAGCAGAGGAUGUGGCUAGAAAAUCGGAAGGGGCUGUUUUCAAAACACGUCGUUGCGGAAGCAUUCUGGACCGUGAGAUUUAAAUCAAAUCGACGGCAUGCGACUAGUCUGACGAAUGACUUUUACCAGAAGUCUGCUAAUAAGUGUUUUCCUUUAUAUUAUAAAGCAACGAACCAAGCAUCCAACACAUCAGUAUAAAGUACGAACAAGUCAUAAAGUCAUGCUGGGGGCACAGCAGGACAAACCCCAAACGAAGCUAAAAAAAGUUAAUCCGGCUCGGGAGGUCCCUGCUGAAAAUUUUAAUGCAUGGUUUUGACAUAUGCGAUGUCUAUGACGCGUGGGGUCUGAGUCCACAUGUUAUACACAUGGGUCAUAUUUCACAAAAAUAAAUAAAAUAGACAUGGGCCAUGUUAUUAAUUUGCAGGGGCAUUGCAUUAAAAAUAAGAACACCCAAACUGGCUAUAACUGACAUAACAUAGCAUAACACGGUUUAUUCUUGUAUACACCACUGUUUAUGAUCCCAGAAAAUAAGACGGAUUUUAUUAAAAGCUAAAGCUAUGUCGAUGGAAGCCCCGAAACCUGCUUCUAAUUAACUCGACCACUGAAAUUUGCAGAAUUUCACAUAUACAAUAUGCAAGAUCAGCAGUUUGUGAACACACAUGCAGAAACAUCUCUCGCAAAAUACAUGAAAGCAUCAUCUCGAGUGAAAUCCUGCAUCGCGAAGAGGAUUGAUUUAGAUACACCUGACCAGCUCAGCAGAUUUAUAUGCAAAGUCUGAAAAGUCUAGAGAUAGUGUCAAAUCAUCAUAAAGAAGCACAUGAUUUUUUUCACCUGAAUAUGAUCUCGUUUAAAAAAAAGGGUUCAUCCGGAGAGAAGGGAAACCAAAUGGAAAACCUAAACAGGUCGACCCUAUUUAUGAGAAAGACAUACCAAAAACCACAUGAGCAACAAGGCCUUGUCAACCACACGGCACACGACCAUAGUCUUAGCCAAUACACACUUCCGGAUCUGGAGCCGCCGCUCCGACUUGUCCUGCUCGCACACAAGCUGCAACGUCGCGCAACUCGGUCACCACAUAGCCCUUUGUUACUCGCUCCGAUCCAUAAUAAGUGUCUUAGUUUUGAACUAAGGUUGAACUAACCUUAAUUCGAAAUUGUGACACUAAUUAUGGAUGGGAGGGAGUAGUAGUUAUCUUCCAACCACACAAUUUUACUUUGAGACGUCUUAUAAUGAUAUUAGUGGAGCAAUGUCAUAUUAUGACAAUAAGAUUAAUACAAUAACAAUCGGCCCCGCCGCCGUCAUCCUAGGGCCCGGCAUGGCUUCACCGGCCGUCCCCCCGACGACAGCGACGCGGGGGCGGGCGGGAGGUGAUGGCCGGGCCGGCGGCGGCUAGGGUUUUCCCCGAGUCGCCCACUCGGGGGUUGGGCCUCUACCUCUUCAUGAAGGUUCUUAUAUCCCAGGAACUCCGUGUAAUGUUGUUGAUUGAUUAAUAAAACCGACAUUUCUCUAAAAAAAACUUAGUGUUGUACGACCAUCUUGUCUCGUCCGUGUUCUUAAACCCCACAGAACACUUCAUGAGGCAGCAGUGGGGAAUUUUCCGCAAUGGACAAAAGCCUGACGGAGCAAUGCCGCGUGGAGGUGGAAGGCCUACGGGUCGUCAACUUCUUUUCUCGGUAUUUGAUCUUGCUCCCUGCCCCUUUUUUUCAUGGAAAAAGGAAAUAUCAAUUUCUCCAUUCAUUGAACCCUAGUUCGUUCUUCGCUUUGCAUCGAAUUAAACCACAUGCUCCACCGCUUGUGCGGGCCCCCGUCAAUUCCUUUGAGUUUCAUUCUUGCGAACGUACUCCCCAGGCGGGAUACUUAACGCGUUAGCGCAAAGAAUGAACCCCACACGACACGAGCACUGACAUGAGCAACCUGCAGUGAGAGCUCUAGCGACGGGCAAAAAUGGCGGCCUCCUCCUCUUCUUCACAGCGUUCGCGCCCACACCACUGGCAGCAGCAGCGACCUCCUCCAAGCUUCCCAGCCAGCCUCCUCCUUUCCCUGCUUGGCUCGCUCCUCUGCAGCAGCACCGGGCGGCAAGCUCGAGCGGCAGGUACACCACCGCCGCCACGGCCUCCGCGAAGCCGUUCACGGCGCACUACUUCCCGCAGGAGCUGGAUCACUUCACCUUCACGCCCAACUCCUCCCGCGUCUUUUCCCAGAAGUACCUCCUCAACGACACCUUCUGGCGGAAACCCACCGCCGGCGCCGGCGGCGUCGGCCCUCUGUUCGUGUACACGGGCAACGAGGGCGACAUCGAGUGGUUCGCCACCAACACCGGCUUCAUGUUCGACAUCGCGCCCGAGUUCGGCGCCCUCCUCGUCUUCAUCGAGGUACUCUUUUGGCCACAUCCUCUGCCAUGGCUGAUGUCGUCGGUGACCGCACGCGCCCUGGUCCAAAAUUUGGUUGUCCUAUUGAUUCUCUCGAGACAAGACACCAUUUUUGCUGUUGUUUAAGCUUCCAUAGUAAUCACUUGUUUAAACUUUUUUCUUGUCAUGCUAAUUAGCAUCCAUAGUAAUUACACUUUAUUUUCCUUUUCCUUCUCACAAUGAAAAAAUACGCAAGCUUUAUGUAUUCGUGAAAAAAGAGAAAAUACUAAUUAGUACUAACUGUAAUCACUUGUUCAACUAGUAUAAUAGUACUAACUUGUUUGAAAUUUGUGUGCAGCAUCGGUACUACGGGGAGUCGAAGCCGUUCGGAAACGACUCGUACACGUCGGCAGACACGGUGGGCUACCUGACGUCCACGCAGGCGCUCGCCGACUUCGCCAUCCUCAUCACCAGCCUCAAGCAGAACCUCUCUGCCGUCGACGCCCCCGUCGUUGUCUUUGGCGGCUGCUACGGCGGCAGUAUGUCCAUCACCGACGCGUCUCCCCAUAUCGCCAAUUAAAUCCAUGUGUGCGACAAUCUUUUUUGAGAGAAAAUUAGGAUGAGCUAAUCUACAAUAAUAAUGUAGUCAGUAUGGAUGCAUCUUCCAAAAAUAAAGUACAGUAAAUGAUUUUAUGCCUGUUGUUUCUAGUGCUGGCUUCAUGGUUCAGGCUCAAGUAUCCCCAUGUCGCCAUGGGAGCACUGGCAUCCUCUGCUCCGAUACUGCAGUUCGACGACAUCACCCCGUGGUCUAGCUUCAACGACGCCAUCUCGCAGGACUUCAAGGUAAUAAUGGGAAUUAAUCAAUACUACUGCAUAACAUCAAAGUAUCACCGGUCAAAUUAUUGGUCAUGACAACGCAUGGCAGAUCAGCAUGCUCUGCUCUGGAUACUGAAUUUCACUUGUGGUCACGGUGUUGGCCCUGAAUUACUAUUAGUACUGAAUUUCAUUUGCUGUCGUGUUAUCAGUACCUAGCGGCACCUUAGUGGUUUUCAGUUAUGAAUUAUGAAUUGGUGAUGGUGUUUUUCUUCAAAAGCAUGAGCGUAACAGAUGUUUUUUUUCUCCGAAAAGGAGGAUUACCCCCGGCCUCUGCAUCGAGCGAUGCACACUGCCAUUGAUGUGUUUGAUUAGAAUCUUUCAAGAAAUAAUACAUGGAAUUUAAGUGCGUGACUGAAAUGGCUAAUGAUGUGGAUGUCUAGGUGAGGACUUACCUUAAUGAGUUCAACACGGCUAAUGAUUCAGUUUUUGAUUAGUUUGAUUGCGACGUGCAACCUCGCCAAAACGCUAUCAAUAGGCGGUUAUGAAUAAGGUCCUCACUUGUCCAAAGAUAUGCAAAUUGAUGUAUAUUUUGUUCAUCAUUGAUGCCUGAUGACACAGCUUUUACUAAUACGGUAGAGACAAGAUAUAAAAAAGGAAGGGAAUGACGAGUCACUUGCUAGUGACAUCUUUGUCUGAUUGAUGCUUGAUUAGUAGCUGUACCAAGUCAUGUUUCCAAAAAAAAAAAGUGUUUAAUCAGCUGAUCAAUUAUAAGUUUGUAACAUCCAACUAAUUUUGCAGUCUGAGAGCCUGAAUUGCUUCAGUGUCAUCAAGGCGGUCUGGGAUCUGCUAGAGGACAAGGGAUCCAAUGACACAGGGCUCUUGGAGCUCAGCAAAACCUUUAGGGCCUGCAAGUAAGCUUUGCCCAGCACAAUUACAGAAUUACUCAAUCUUAUCAUGCAGGGAGAAAAUGAUUUUUUUUCUUUACUCAUAACUGUAGAGGACGCCGUCUCCAUGGUAUAAAAUUUACUAGUGUAGGGCGAAAAACAAAAGAUUAUGACUGCAAGUAUUCUUUUCUUUGUGUGAAGUGCAAGUAAAUCAAACAAAUAGUAAAACCUUGUAGCCAAGAAAUACGCGAGAAAAUAACUUGCAGCCCCAAAGAUGCACAUUAAAUGCAAUUGGUAGAUUGAUGGACAUGCAAAACUCAUCUUGUCAACGAAGCAUAUCAUACUUUGAUCAAAUCGACAGUGAUGACUCGGGUUCGUGACAUUGCUCUAUCUCUUGUAUUUUAGGACGGUGCAUUCCGUUUAUCCGCUGGCAUUAUGGCUAAGGGCAGCAUUCACCACCACAGCCAUGGUGGACUAUCCAACUCCAGCCAAUUUCAUGAUGAAUCUGCCUGCUUACCCUGUGAAGGAGGUUAGGCACUUGUAACCUAAUUUACAACCCUUACUCUCGCCUGCAUUACUACAUCAAAUGUAUCAUGAAUGAGGAGAGAAACAUGAGUUUCUACCAAAACUGAGUCUGAGGACCUGUUUUUAUUCUUUUCUGCUGAGCAUGUAAUUAUCCUGACAUUUCUGCAGAUGUGCAAGAUCAUUGAUUCUUUUCCCGCGGAAGCAGACGUCAUCGGCAAAGCUUUCGCUGCGGCGAGCCUAUACUACAAUUACACAGGCGACCAGAAAUGCUUCGAGGUGGAGGGUGGCGAUGACCCUCAUGGCCUCCAUGGCUGGGGCUGGCAGGUACAAGCCUGACUCACAUACAUGUGAAUGUGGUGUAGUGAUAACAAAUGAAGCCUGAGAAGAUCAUAUAUGUGUUUUCUGAAACAAACUCUUUUGCAGGCCUGCACAGAGAUGGUCAUGCCGAUGACGGUGUCGAACGAGAGCAUGUUCCCACCGUCCAGCUUCAGUGACGAGAAGAGGUCGGAGGGCUGCCACCUGGUCUACGGAGUUCGUCCAAGGAUGCACUGGAUCACUACUGAAUAUGGUGGCCAUGUAAGUGUUUGUUUCAGAUUCUCAGUGUUUACAUAUCAGUAGCAGCAUCUCUUUAGAUGGCAUGUGCUCAUCUGGUACUGCAUUGUACAACCCACUGCAGAAAAUUGACAAGGUUCUCAAGAGGUUUGGGAGUAACAUCAUCUUCUCCAACGGGAUGCGAGACCCAUGGAGUAGAUUUCACCAUAUGAAUCAUGCAUGAUGAUAAUUUCGACCAUUCAGGUAACAAUUUUACCACAGUAAAAAAAUACUAAUAGUAUUCCUGUCAAACUGCUAUCAUCAGGGUGCUCAAGAACAUAUCAUCCAGCAUCAUUGCUCUUGUCACAGAGAAAGGUAAACAUGAUUGCAGCAAAUAUGCAACGUCAAAAGGAUUCUGAAACUUACUUAAACAUGACUACUUCUUUUGUGGUGGUGAUGUUCAGGGGCCCAUCAUUUGGACCUCAGAUCAGCAACCAAGGAUGAUCCAGACUGGCUUGUAGAACAAAGGAGACAGGAAGUUGGGAUCAUACAUGGAUGGAUAGAUCAGUAUAACAAGGACAUUGCGCAGAUGUAGCAGUAAGAAGGCGCCAUUGAUUUUCACAGUCAAGGAAAAUUAAUGUAGCUACAUGGAAAAUGUAAGGACUUUGCUAUGUUCUACAGGGCGAUAAGUACAAAAACUGAAGAUAGUGCAUUAGUGCAACUUCAAAUUAAACAAGACACCAGAAAUUUUUGAACUUAAGCAGUCAUAAACGGAUCAUGAAUGCAGAGGUUCUCUUUUUCUACUUCUAGAACUGUUGGCGCUGAACAUUGAAUUUAUGACCCCAGAAACUUCUUAUCGAUGAAACAAAAGUUCACUGAAACAUAUCAACAUGGAUCUUGGUCAAAAGAUCUCGGGGCGAGGAUUCCAACGAUGAAAACGGUUCAGAAUUUGGAUGCACGAUUUAAAAAAUAAAAUGUUUUGAAUAAACGAAUCUAAAAAAACUCCCAUAUUACGACAAAUGACGCAUCUGCACUGCGUCGCUUUGUUGCAAUUAGAAGGUGGGAGUGAUCUUUACAAAGAGUACUUCUUAAUUAGUGAUUUUGCUCUUUUACUUCUUUUUAAUAUCUUUCACGCUUGGGCUGAGCCCACCUGCUGGCCGAAUGUACACAUAAAUGGGCACAUGCCAUGCAAAGCCCUGGGAGGUGUCCUUUCCCGCCCAGGCCUUGAUCCGAAACCCUAUUCAACGCCUUAUACGCCGGUUAUAAGUGAUUACGUAAUCCGGCGAACCCCGCCAUCACCCUUGGGCUUGGCCCAUGUAACUCUUUUUUUUUCCAGGUUGGCAACGUUUGUCUCGCGUGUAGUUCCUGUUCGACCAGUCUAGAUAGUUUUUUUUCUCAACGGGGUUUCCUGGUUUUUUCAAGGAUGGGCUUUGUAAGGGUUUUCUUAUUUCUUUUCCUUUGUCAUUUUUAAUUCUUUUUCAAAAUUCAUGAUUUUUUUUAAAAUCGUGAACAUUUCUUAAAUUUGCGGACUUUUUUUUCAAAUUCAUAAAAAUGAAAAUUUUGAGCUUUCCCAAUUUUGUUCAUCAUUUUUUCCCUUUCUAUUUUUUUCAAAUGCGUGAACUUUUUUCAAUUUCAAGAACUUUUCUACAACUCCAGAACUCUUUUCAAUUUUCCUGAACAAAUUUUGCAAACUGUUUUUCAAUUUUUUGUGAACAUUUUUCAAAUGCAUAAACAUUUAUCAAAUUAGGAACUUUUCAAAACCUGGGAUUCUUUUUGAAAUCCGUUAAUUUUAUUUGAAUCCAUUUACAUCUUUCAAAUGCAUGACCAUUUCCAAGUCCGCGAACUUUUUUCCACUUUUGCAAAAAAAAAGUAAAAUCAAAAUUCAUGAUUUUUUCAAAUCCAUGAACUUUUUACAUUUUUUUUUAAAAAUCUUGCUUUUUCAUAUAUGUGAACUCUAUUGAAAUUUAAGAACUAUUUUGAAACCCAUGAUUUUUUUAAAAUUAGUUUUUUAAUUAAAUAAAUUAAAAGUCACCGGUCAAACGUUUCGCCUGCACCCAAUCAACCACCUUGCAAUCGAUGAAAGGUCCACUUGUCAACCCACCAGGCAUAACUAACUGGGGCAGCCCAAUAGGUGCGCGCGGGCGCCAGUUGGCCUCUUAAGAAGCAUUUUUGUCCUGGCAUCUAACAUCUGACAUGACACAUUGUUGUAGUAGAGUGGAUGAAAGUGUCACGAAAGACGUAAAACAUAGACACAAUGUCAAACAGAAAGGAGAACAUUUUUAGGUCCAAGUAGAGAAAGGUAGUUUUACACUUUAUUUUUAAAACACGUCCCAUUUAUUAAUUGUUUAGAAAAGUAUUACAACCACUUCUUACAGCAUAUGCCAGGCAGGGCGGACAACUAUUAAGAAGAAUACCAUCAGACCUAUUAUCAAAAUGAAACUGGCUUGGCAAUUUUACCUUAGACAUAUUAAAGCUAUUGAAAAACUAAAUGGUGCUAUGAGCUUCCUUCUUCAUAUCAAUAAGAGGGGACCUGUCAAGAUUUUCAUUUGCACGGAAAGAGGCCAUAAAAGCACAAUCAAUUUCCAAAAUACUUGGCAUGUGAAGCGUAUACCGAUGUAAAGACCGGUGAGGCAUGCCCAAAGCUUAGCUUCAUCCACAAUGGUGCACAACCCAAUAAAAUUCCACGAAGAUAUGACAACAUCGCCAGAAGCUCGUUUCAGUUAGUGUCAAGUAGGCAAUUCUCUCUACAAAGUCCCGGAAAAAAAUCUCUUUACAAUGUAAGCCCAUGGGUGGUAGAAGAUUUAUGUACGGUAGCAUUGUGGACAACCAUGUGUUUUCUUGCAAUGGAUGAUCUUUGGUUAGAACUCUAUUACUUGCUUAAGCAUUGAAUCCAAUACAACUUCUGGACUGUUUUUUUUUGAAUGGGGAGAACCCCACCUGUAUACUGAUCUCAAUUAAAAAAACAUUGAACCAGUUUAUGUGAAAAACUUGAUAAAACACCAUGAUUGGAUUUAUGUGAGAAGCUGGAUCAAAAAUCUUGACAACUUAUGGGGCAAUAUGUUUUGCCAAAGCAAGAACACAACUUCAGGACGUCCGGGAAUUUGCUUCGCUGCCCUUUGUUUAAUAUUUUGUUUGCCUUUUGCUAGUUAUCUAGCCGCACUAUUCUGUAAACUUGUAAACCUUGAUACCCGUAAGGGCCUUAUUCUAAGGCCGUGCAAUAGCCUCUUAUAUAUCCUUAAAAAGUACUAUUGGCAGUCUAAGGGUUGACUCUUGCAACGAACACAAUAUGGUCUGUGGUGGACUGGUGGUCCCUAUCUUUAUCCUUGGCGUGUGUUCUUCAUAGUUUUAUGAGUAGAUAAGGUGCAUCAAUAAAUGGAAGCAAAGAAGUUGUCACUCAAGUCAGAGCAAGUGUAAUAAGGUACAGUCAGCAGGCUAUAGAUUAAUAGCCGGCUACAACAUGGACUCCAAGAAACAUUAUGAAAGUGUAAGAUGGGCCAUGCAUUAAUAAACUAGUACUACUUAGCAACUAACUACUAUAUAUGAUAACUACUAUUAGGUUGACUAUAUGUGAUAUGGCAACUACAUAUAGCCGGUUGUUGGCUAUACUAUUCCCUCCGUGUAGGUGCAUAAGGCUGGUUGUAAUGGGAAGUAUCAUAUACUAGUAUCAUGCAUAUGAUACUAGCGUAUGAUACUACCUCCUUAAUGCAUAGUAUCAUAUAUUAGUAUCAUGUAGUACUUUAUUUAUUGUCAUGCAUGACACAUAGCAGCAUAUCAUUUAUUAUGAUACGGUAUCAUGAUAUGAUACUCAACUCUCUCUUUCUUCAUUUAAUUCUAUGACACCUCAUCAAAAUUGCCUAGUUGGCAUGCAUGAUACAAGCUAUGAUACUCCCAUUACGACCAGCCUAAGUCAUCUUAGGUUGUGCACCAUGACUAAGGAGGAGGGAAAAACGAGAUGACUUAAUGUUUAUUUGCUAAUUAAUAGCACUGCAUGCAAUGAACUGACCACUGCAUGUCGUGUUUGGUAGUCUCAAGUCAUUAAAAGCAUGUACGCCCCACAUCUCUUAUUGGUUGAUUCCUUUAUUUAUGUCAAGAAACAAGAAACGAGAUGAGAGUUAAUGAACCAUGCCUAAGUGUUUUGAAAUUAUUUGGUUUUCAUAAGGUGACUUGUACACCUAGACGGAGGGAGUAUUAACCAUGCUCUCACUUGGACCACAAUCACAAUCCUUAUGCCAUGUGGCUCUGUGGUGCAUUGUGCGUGCUGCAGGUGCAACCCAACAUGUUUGUUCCUAUCCUAUUGUUGGCGCUACUACUGUUGCACAUCAUCAAUCGGGAUGGGCAGGCUCGUGGCAGUGGCACCACUACGAUUGUGGUUGUUCGCGGUCUCUGGCCUCCGGGUAUGCAGGUGUCCAUGUGCAUGUACCUCACUGGAUUCCUAUUAUUUCUCGUAUCUUGCAAAGUUGCAAGUGGAUCAAACCUGCAGGGUCACACGCUUAAGGGAUUACGACCAGUUGAGUUCUAUAGGAGCUAGGAAUAUGAGAGAAUAUUAUCAGACAAGUUUCGGAAAUAAAAAAAUAGUUUCGAGAGAAGCCAGAAGCGUUUUGGGGUUACCGGAAGGGUGUCAGGGAAUACAGGGUAAUAGCAUAUAGGUGGAAUUUGUACCCAGAGACCUCAUAUAAAUAUAGGUGUAAUUUGAUAUCGUAUCACAACCUAUGUUCACAGCCUAAAAAAGCGGGACCUGAAUGGAAGAACUCAACAGAACUAUCAACUGCUUACUGGUGAGCUUCUCCAGUCCGGUUUGCUUUUUUCAAUGGCCGGGGUGAUAAUUGCUUACUACUUUGUGCAUUUGGCAUCAAAGUAGCUACUUGCUGGGCAAUGGAGGGCAUCGAUGCGAAACGAAGGGAAAGUGAAUUUGGCACCGAGCAUACAUAGUGGAGGGCCUUAUAAUACUUAGGAUUUAUUUUUCUACCUUGGUCGUUUGAUUCGUUACAUGUAGUACAUUUUUCUAGAACGGAGGCGCUUUCCCGGCUUUAGUGAACUGAAACCCUUAAAACGUUUACAACAACUUAGUGAUAAAAUAAGCAGAAAGAUUCGAUACAGACCCUAUAGGGCCAACGACUCAAGAGCCAAAAACAAACGACAAACUAGAAAUCCAUGACGAAUCGUCGAUCAGCAAGCAUGAUGAAUCACCCUGUUGGCCGCCGAUCUCUCUGAUUUGUAGUAUAUUCCAUAGAAAAUCUAGCAUCUUCUAACAAAAAUAUUCCUUCAGCACAAAUCUGAAAUGUUACAAAAUAUUUUGUUAAUGUGCAUUAUGGUCAUUUGUACAACUGUGAUUUAUGUGAGCUGGCAUUUAUCUUGUCCAGUCGUGAAUCUUUGUUCAACAGUCUAUGCUUUUUCUUUAGGGAAAACAGUCUAUGGCUUGUCUUUUGAAGAAGCUUUUGUCAUUCCGACCGGCGGUGGGCCUGCUCUAUGGCUUUGAUGAGCCUUUGACAGGCCGAAUGAUGGGCUCCCCUGGUAGCCCCAUCAACCUGCAUCGAGUGCAGAUUCCACCUCUGCUGGAUUCUGCUGGGGAAAUGUAGAUUCUUUUUCCCAUUUUAACGUAGGAGCUGACUCAUUGCUCGCCCGUGUAGUCUUGCCUAGGCUGGUUCAGUGCGGGUGUGCUCGUUCGUUGGGGACAUGAUGAGGUGCGAGUAGAUUGCAUGCAUGGGGUGAUGGGGAUAUACUGUUGCAAGUGUGCAACUUGGAUCUUGGGAUGAAAUCAUUUGCUGAAAGUCGAAAAAAGUGAUGGAGAAUUAUGAAAGCUCAUCAUAUCUCAUGACUGCUCCUUGUGUAUUGGUACCGGCGUAGAUCGCGAGUAGAAAAAUGUGAAGGACUAUUAUGGAAGCUCAGUCAUAGCUCAUACUCCGGUGCUCAGGCUCAUCUACACUCGGUACGUUAAAAAAAUACAAACAAAUCUGAAUUUUUUAGGCAUCCAAGUUGCUCAUGUACACAUGGUGAGCGCACAAUUUCAGAUUGUUUAGACAUCUGAGGAGCUCGUGGCAAAAAAAAAACCCGGUUCUAUUGUUCUUUUUCAAAGUUUCUCGGACACCUAAAAUUUGUUUUUUGGCACGAGCUCCUUAGAUGUCGAAACACCACGAAAUUUUUUGGCACGAGCUCCUUAGAUGUCGAAACACCUCGAAACAUCUUGGAUGCCUAAAAAUUUCAUAUAUUUUUACUAUCCUUUUGAAUUUACUGUUCAUGCAUGGGUGUAGAUGAGCAUGCACUAGUAGAAAAAGGGUCAAAUGUCAAUCACAUUAGUGCCGGUUUGAUUUUGAGCCGACACUAAUGUGUGCAUUAGUGCCGGUUCCAACGGCUAGCCGGCCGCUCUCAUUAGUACCGGUUCGGGGCUAACCUUUAGCACCGGUUCGUGCCACGGACCGGUACUAAAGUGAGUGGUGGCAGGAUGUUGUCAGUCCGGGGCCCCUCCAGCACCUUUAGUACCGGUUCGUGGCACGAACCGGUGCUAAAGGUCGUCCUACAUAAACCCUUCGUCCACCCGAGCUCGCUCUGUUCUUCCCCUUUCCCCUCUCCUCUCUGUUCUUCCCCUCUUCCUCUCGAGCUCAUCACACAUUUUGCCCAAAAUUUGUCAAGAUUUGAAGGCCCCCAUCCAUUCAAAUGAUCACAAAGGUUAGCAACUUUGUCCUUUCAUCUCUCAUUGCUAGAUUAGCUCUUGCAAUGCUUUUGUAUAGUGAUUAAUUUAUGAGUUUAGUAAUUUGGGAGGAAAUAUAUGUGCUAGUAUUUGAUUUAUAUGCAAUUUGAGGUCAAAAAUAACACUUAGUUUGCAUAUGUAGGUGUGGUUUACUUAGUGCCUUCUAAAUCUCCGUCGUAACCACAGUCGAUCGCCCGCACCGUUCCGUCGCCGGCACCACCUUGUGGUGAGCCUCUUGUUCAUGAAUGUUUUACAUUACCAAAUUGAUGUUUGUGUGAUUUGGAUAUAUAGUUACUCGUAUAAUUAUCUUAAUCGUAUGUUGUUUAUUAUACAUAGUGCCAUGGUUUUGAUAUCCGUCCCCGUCGGCCCUCGUCCUUGUUAUGAUUCGGAUGUGGUAUAUUCUCUUUUAAAACUAGUUGUUGCAUUUCGUGUUUAUGACAAAUUAUGCCCAUCAAAUUGACAUAGAUAUUUUUGUCUAGGAGGUUUGUGAACCGGAAAUUCCAACCGACCCUAUUGUUGAGAGGUUAAAUUUAGUUGAAAGAGAAAACGAGUAUUUGAAAGAAAAAUUGAAAAGAAUUGAGGGGGAGAAGAUGGAAUUGGAGUUGCAUGUUGCCGAUGUCGUCGAUGAUCACAAGACCAAGAUGGAGAAAAUGCGUUUGAAGAUUAGAAAGAUUAGAAAAUAUGCCAUUGAUAGUGAGGCUUGGUAUCAUUAUGCUGUUGGACAAUUGUUAACUUAGUUGCGAUCUUGAUCGCAUUUGUUAUUGCAUUUAAAUGCUUUAGUUAGAGAGUUAUUUGUUUGUUGCAUUUAAGUCUUGUAUGAACUUUAUGUAUGAACUUGUAUUAAUUUGGUCUUUUCGGUGUUGUGUAAUGAAGAUGAGCCGACAAUGGAUGUACGAUGACCGAUGCUCUCCCGAGUUCAUUAAUGGCGUGCAAACUUUUCUGCUUGCGGCUGAGGCAAACAAGCGGGCGGAUGGUUUUAUGCCUUGUCCAUGUUUAGUAUGUAAGAAUGAUCACAAUUACUCUACGUCAAGAACCAUUCACGUCCACCUGUUUAAGUCCGGUUUCAUGCCCCACAAUAAUGUUUGGACCAAGCACGGAGAAAGAGGGGUUAUGAUGGAAGACAAUGAAGAAGAAGAGGACGACGACAGCUAUCCUGGCCAUGGGUUCCCUGAAUACGAUGAUACAACAAUGGGGGAAGAAGCUAAGCCGGCAAUGCGGGAAGAAGCUGAAGAAGAGGCAUCAGAUGAGCCCGUUGAUGAUCUAGGUCGGGCCAUUGCCGAUGCAAAGAGAAACUGCGCAAGUGAUUUGGAGAAGAAGAACUUGCAGCGCAUGUUAGAGGAUCACAAGAAAUUGUUGCACCCGAAUUGCGAAGCUGACAAGAAAAAGUUGGGCACCACACUGGAAUUGCUGCAAUGGAAGGCAGAGAAUGGUGUAUCUGACAAGGGAUUUGGAAAGUUGCUGGUAAUGAUAAAUAAUAUGCUUCCAAAGGACAACAAAUUGCCCGAGAGUACGUACGAAGAAAAGAAGGUUGUCUGCCCUCUAGGGUUAGAGGUGCAGAAGAUACAUGCAUGCCCUAAUGCCUGCAUCCUCUACCGCGGUGAGUAUGAGGAUUUGAACGCUUGCCCGGUAUGCGGUGCAUUGCGCUAUAAGAUCAGGCGCGAUGACCCUGGUGAUGUCAAGGGCGAGCGCCCCAGGAAGAAGAUUCCUGCCAAGGUGAUGUGGUAUGCUCCUAUAAUACCACGGUUGAAACGUUUGUUCCAAAACAAAGAGCAUGACAAGGCGAUGCGAUGGCACAGAGAAGACCGUAAGAAAGACGGAAAGUUGAGAGUACCCGCUGACGGGUCACAGUGGAGAAAAAUUGAGAGAAAGUACGGGAAGGAGUUUGCAGAUGACGCAAGGAACGUAUGGUUUGAUCUAAGCGCAGAUGGCAUCAAUCCUUUUGGGGAGCAGAGCAGCAACCAUAGCACCUGGCCUAUGACUCUAUGUUUGUAUAACCUUCCUCCUUGGUUGUGCAUGAAGCGGAAGUUCAUUAUGAUGCCAGUGCUCAUCCAAGGCCCUAAGCAACCCGGCAACGACAUUGAUGUGUACCUAAGGCCAUUAGUUGAAGAACUCUUACAGAUGUGGAAUGGAACAGGUGUACGUGCGUGGGAUGAGCACAUGGGGGAAGAAUUUGACCUAAAGGCCUUGCUGUUCGUGACCAUCAAUGAUUGGCCUGAUCUCAGUAACCUUUCAGGACAGACAAAUAAGGGAUACCGCGCAUGCACACACUGUUUGGAUGAUACCGACAGUAUAUAUUUGGACAAUUGUAGGAAGAAUGUGUACCUGGGACAUCGUCGAUUUCUUCCGAGUAGACAUCCCGUAAGAAAGAAAGGCAAGCAUUUCAAAGGUGAGGCGGAUCACCGGACGAAGCCUCGCCACCGUACUGGUGCCGAUGUACAUGAUAUGGUCAAGGAUUUGAAGGUAGCCUUUGGAAAGGGUCCUGGCAGACAACCUGUUCCGAAUGAUGCUAACGGACGCGCACCCAUGUGGAAGAAGAAAUCUAUAUUUUGGGACCUGCCCUAUUGGAAAGACCUAGAGGUCCACUCCGCAAUCGACGUGAUGCACGUGACGAAGAAUCUUUGCGUGACCCUGCUUGGCUUCUUGGGCGUGUAUGGGAAGACAAAAGAUACACCUGAGGCACGGGAGGACCAGCAACGUAUGCAUGGAGAAGACGGCAUACAUCAGGGUCAUGCCAGCUACGCUCUUACCAAAGAAGAGAAGGAAAUCUUCUUUGAAUGCCUGCUCAGUAUUAAGGUACCGUCUGGCUUCUCGUCGAAUAUAAAGGGAAUAAUAAACAUGGCAGAGAAAAAGUUCCAGAACCUAAAGUCUCAUGACUGCCACGUGAUUAUGAUGCAUCUGCUUCCGGUUGCAUUGAGGGGGCUUCUACCGGAUAACAUUCGAUUAGCCAUUGUGAAGCUAUGUGCAUUCCUCAAUGCAAUCUCUCAGAAGGCAAUCGAUCCAGAAAUCAUACCAAGGUUAGAGAAUGAUUUGGUGCAAUGUCUUGUCAGUUUCGAGUUGGUGUUCCCACCAUCCUUCUUCAACAUCAUGACGCACGUCCUAGUUCACCUAUGCGAAGAGAUUAACGUUUUGGGUCCUGUAUUUCUACACAAUAUGUUCCCCUUUGAGAGGUUCAUGGGAGUCUUAAAGAAAUAUGUUCAUAACCGUGCUAGGCCAGAAGGAAGCAUCUCCAAGGGCCAUGAAAAUGAGGAGGUCAUUGAGUUUUGUAUUGACUUUAUUCCUGACCUUAAGCUGAUUGGUGUUCCUGAAUCGCGGCAUAAGGGCAGACUGGAUGGAAAAGGCACGCUAGGAGGGAAUCAAAAAAUAUGUAUGGACGGACAUUCUCUCACUGAAGCACACUACACAGUUCUACAGAAUUCCGCCUUGGUGGCUCAGUAUAUGGACGAACACAAGAAUUUUCUACGCUCCAAACACCCGGAGCGGUCUGAUGACUGGAUUACACGUGAACAAACCAGGAGUUUCGCUGGGUGGUUGCAGACACGUACCAUGCAUGACGCCUCUAUUGAAGAUGACCUGUACUCGCUGUCCCAGUUACCAUCUUCGAAUAUAAUGACUUUCAAAGGGUACGAGAUAAAUGGUAAUACAUUUUACACGAUCGCCCAAGAUAAGAAGAGCACCAACCAAAACAGUGGUGUCCGCUUUGAUGCAACAACCAAUACGGGAAAGGAAACAUAUUAUGGUUACAUAGAGGAGAUAUGGGAACUUGACUAUGGACGUGGUUUGAAGGUCCCUUUGUUUCGGUGCAAAUCACUACAGGAAACAGCUACUUUGCCGUCUGCCACGGCGGACGGCAAAGGCUCGAAAGGCGGACGGCAAAGACCUUUGCCGUCAGCCGCGGACGGCAAAAGGCUCCGGCAAAGAAGGCUACGGUAAACAGCUGCUUUGCCGUCUGCUUCCUGGCGGCGGACGGCAAAGGCUCUUUGCCGUCUGCGGCGGACGGCAAAGAGGGCGGACGGCAAUAAUUGCACUGUCAGUCCGUUAAGUGGCUAACGGCAGACCUUUGCCGUCCGCCGCAGACGGCAAAAUUUCUCUGGUCUUUGCCGUCCGCCUUAUGAUGUCAUCUACACGUCACUAGAUGGCAGGUUCUUUGCUGUCUGCCACUGAUGGCAAAGUGCAGGUUCUUUGCCGUUUGCCACGGACGGCAAAGUCUUUGCCGUCUGCCACUGUAGGCAAACUGACCAAAUGGGUCAGCUCCCAGGAAGCACAGUUGGCUGCCACGUGGCUUCUUUGCCGUCCGCGGCAGACGGCAAAGAACUCUUUGCCGUCGGUGGCAGACGGCAAAGAGCCUGCAUAUUGUCUGUUUUUUCUGUUUUUUAUUAAAUCCCACAAUUUGCACAGAAAAUAUAUAAGUUUCAUAUCACAUAUCCAGCACAUAUCCAGCACAUAUCCAGCACAUAAGUUUCAUAUCACAUAUCACAUCAGUUUCAUCCAUACACAUUGUUCAUACAUAAGCAAGUUCCAUCCAUACACAUUGUUCCAUCCAUAUAUAUAUUACAAUGCAAUGUUUCAUGAAGAUAGCAAGUUCCAUCAUAGCAAGCUAGAUACAAUGCAAAGUUUCAUCAAAGGAAAAGCAAGCACUCCAUCAUAGCAAGCUAGCUUCCAUGAAGUGAAUGAAAUCUGCAAAAUGGUAAAUAAGAAAGUUAGAAAUAGGUGACUAGAACAAGAAGAAGACUAGAACAAGAAGUAUAUGUCAUUUAUGAGCUAACUUAGGUGAAAUGGAUCAUAUAUGAGCUAACUAAGUUGAAAUGGGUUGUUUAUGAGCUAACUUAGUUGAAAUGGAUCAUUUAUGAGCUAACUUAGUUGAAAUGGGUCGUUUAUGAGCUAACUAAGGUGAAGGGCAUCGUUUUUGAGCUAAGUAAGGUGAAAUGGGUCAUUUUGGAGCUAACCUAGGUGAAAUGGGUCAUUUUGGAGCUAACCUAGGUGAAAUGGGCCAUUUUAAAGCUAACGUAGGUAAAAUGGAUCAUUUAGGAGCUAAUGUAGGUAAAAUGGGUCAUUUUUGAGCUAACUUGGAUGAACUGCAUCAUUUAUAAGCUAACCUAGGUAAAAUGGGUCAUUUUGGAGGAAAAUAAGCUAACUCUAGGUCAUUAUGGUAAGCAUAUUGGAGGAAAUAAAGCUAAGUCUAGGUCUUUAUGCAUUUGUUAAGCAAAACACUAGAGAAACUUACCGUGAUCAGGGAGGUGUAGGAGCGGGGUGGCUAGUGCCGCUACCUGGAGAAGGAUUGUGCAAUGCGUUUCUGGAGUUAAGCUGCACCAAAGAUCAUUUCCAAUGUCUCGUUAGUAUUACGACACUCAAAUGUUAAGACUACCAAGUAAUGUCCAUUCAAACUAAACUCACCGUGCUCCCAGGAGCAAUCACUGGCAUCGGCGGAGCGGGCUGACCGGACUUCUCGCACACAGACUGCACAUUUGGUUUUCAGAACAGAGUCAUACUAGUUAGUAAUGAGACUCAAAUGUUAAGACUAGCAAGUAAUCUGCAGAAGAAACUUACCACAAGGAGCUCGUACAUGGCCCUUGACUGCAUGUCAUUCCGUGCCCUCUCCUCCUCCAUCAUCUUUCUCGUCCUCUCCUCCAUCUCCCGCUGCCUCUCCGCCGCCUCCGCCAGAAGUUUCUCCGUUCUAUCUCUCUCAGUCUGUAUAGCAGCCUGCAACACCACUCACAUGACCAUUUGUAAUCAUUGAUGGAAGCGCACACAAUGUAAUGGAGAAAGAUAACUGAGUACGUAUCACUAACCUUGAUGGCGAGUUGCACUGGCCAUUCACGAGGCCUUAUCUCAGGAGCGGAGCUCGACUGGCGCGCCUUGAUCUCCGGGAGAGUGCUAGGACAACGGAUAAGUCCAUCUCCAAUGGCUAUGGAGCCAUGGGACCUCCCGCCACCAGAUAUCAUCACCAGCUCUGGAUCAAUGGGACCCUGGCUCGGGUUAAAGUCCUCCCCUUUCCUCGCCUUCCCCUCAUCUCUAUAUCUCACGAGCUUGUUGUGGGAGGAGAUGUUGGUGAAGUUGUUUGCAUCAUCGAGGUCAGACUGAGAGAAAGCCUUGACUUUCUUGAAAGAGCCAGUGUGGGCCAUGGCAUAUAGGUCGUACACCUCUGGCACCUUAUCCGCCUUAUUGUAGCGUGCCUGAAAGAGAGAAACAAUGAAAAUUAGUAAUUAAAGGGCUCAAGCUAGCAUGAUGAAUGAAUUGCAUGAAUCAUGAAGCAAACCACAUACCCAGUUGCGCCUGAACUGAUAUAAGUUGGAGCUGCCUUGAUGGUGUGGCACACCUUCCAUUUGGGCACGUUUGUCCUUGGCCUGGUUGUGGAGGGCUAGCCAUUCUUGUGAGCACCACUCAUCGACCAACACCUCCCAACAAUCCAUCCGAUCCGCACACCAUCUCGGAGGCGCCUAAGUUAGCAAAUAGAAACUUGAGCGCUACGGCUAAGAAUUACUAAAUGAAGGAACUUAAGUAGAAGGCCUUAAGAAUUACCUUCAUGUACUGCUCCUUACUCAGGAACUUAUCGCGGCACGCCGGCUUGGUCUUCUUGAUACCACGCAAGGCGUAGUAGUCUCGAACAGCCUGCACCCGAGCCUCGUGCCGUAAGUUCUGGAGUAGGCGCUUGCAGACGUUUUGGAUAACAUUUGCGCUGUCCUCCUCGUAUCCCUCCUCACACCUGUAGAAUGUCUGCAAUCAAAUGAGACAAUAUUGAUUAGUACAAUUAAUAACUAGCUAGUUGAAGAUUUUGAAAUGUGUAAAGGAGAAAUUACCCAGAACGUCCUGAUCACCAUGUCUGCCCUCGUGUCGCACACGACACCGUCGAUAAUGACAUCCGGCGGGGCCGGGGCAGCCACGUAGUGCUCCCAGCUCAACCCAAGCUCUGGAAGCCGACCCUUACCAGGCAACGUGACAAACCCCGGGAAGUUUUGCCGGCAAUGAACUCCAAGGACGGAGUUGGGCCGGCGGACACUAUGAUGGUGGUCCCAACCCCUGCAGCAUGAAAAGGCCAACGCAUUAGUUAUUUGAAGAAACGUGAAUGCAGAAGGUACAAAAAUAUUAAAUACACUUACGUACCUCUCCCCAUCAGGGAAGAUCAACCACCUCUGCUCGCGGGUCGCCGGCACGGACGGGAGCCGUGUAGCACCACGCUGGUAGACGGUGCCACCCUCCUCCUCAAGAUCAGUCGGCUCUCCGCCAUCAUCAGCAUGGCCACUCGGCUCCUCGGGCUGAUCCGGCCAGGUACCCCAUCCGGACGUGUGCUCCUCUGGGGUCUCGUGGGCCGAAGGCCAGUCGACCCGAGGCUCGUGGGCCCAAGACCCGUGGACCGGAGGCUCGUGGACCGGAGUCCGUGUAGCCUCCUCCUCGGACGAGUCCACCCUAGCAGUCACGUGCUCGGGUGAAACAGCUGGGGGUGGCGGCGAGGAAGGCGCCCUAGCAGUCACCCUACCUCCUCUCCCGCGACCACGUGCCCCACCUCCUCUCUUCCUACCUCGUCCCCUGCUGGGCACCGCGGUCGACGAAGAAGGGCCCGGCGGUGUGGACAUACUGUCCAGCAACGCUCGGCGGAGAGGUACGUCUGGAAUCGAAGACCUCAGACCACGCGCCGACGAAGAAGGGGCCUUGGCGCGCUCCCGACCAGCGCCCACCAUCUUUCAACACCUGCCAUGACAAACAGUAAACGAAAUUAGUACAACAUAAAAAAAAGACCGACAUGAAUAAUAAUAUGUGUAUCACUUAAGUGUAUCAUCAUCAAGUACAACAUUAAAAAAUUUAAUACCUGACACUACUAAUAAUCUCGAUCAGUAUCAUCAAUAAAUGCAUAAUCAUCAUCAUCACUAUAAUCAAUGACGGGCUCAUAGGGUUCAGUGGCAUCAACAUGUGCAAGGCCACCUUGACGUAAUCGGUCAAGCAAUGACAAGUCAUCCGCAGCAGUAACCUCUUCUUGUUCCGGCUCUUCUUGUUCCUCCUCUGGGGUGAUGUCGGAUUCACUAUCGCUGUCUACUUCAAUGUUUUGGGGUGAAGUAUAGCGGUUCUUGAAACGCUUUUUGGAAAGACGUGUCUCUUGGAAGAAUUCUCCUUCAUAUGUGUCUGGGGUAAUGUGAGGUUCAUAAUCCUCUUCCUUUGGGGGAGAUAGUCUAGCACGUGGCGGCACUUCAUAAACGACAUCCCAACCUUUCAGAUUUGGAUUAGUUUGGCAGGCCCACGGUAGAUAGAAUACUUGGGUCGCCUGUUGAGCCGUAAUAUAGACAUCAGGAACAUCUAAAUGGGUGCUUUGGUUGAUUUCAACUAGCCCUAUAUGUUCAUGAGUCCUUCUAGUCUCCUUCGGCUGAAACCAAUAACAUUUGAAGACUACGACAUUCGGUGGGUUUUCACCAUAGAAUAGAAGUUCAUAAAUUGCUUCAACUCUCCCAUAAUACUCGGUACCUCCUUCGCCGAUAGCAGAUACACAACAAUUUGUAGACUUUCGGUCGGCCAUAGAUAGCUCUUUGCCAUAGGUACGAAAGCGAUACCCGUUGAUGUCGUAUUUGUCAAAUGAACUGACCUUAUAGUCAAAACCAUUAGCGACUUGUCUCAAUUUGGCGUCCAUAGACUCUGAAUUAGCCUACAAGUUUAAUAUGAAAGGAUUGUUGCAUUACGCACAAAUUAGCGAAUGAAACCGGGAUAGCCGCCUACAAAUUAGCCUACAAGUCUAAUAGAAAUUACCGUUUGUUUGAACCAAGAGAUGAAACCAGGAUAGCCGCCUCCUUGCUUUGCGAG
Molecule: long non-coding RNA, 37035 nt
Filed under: Triticum aestivum (bread wheat)
Lineage: Eukaryota; Viridiplantae; Streptophyta; Magnoliopsida; Poales; Poaceae
Description: long non-coding RNA (TAES_LNC018531)
Source: RNAcentral